CUCGUCCGGGUCACGUCGGUUCAAGUUCUCCAAGACCUUAGUCUGGAAAGGAUUUGAAAGACAUCGAAGAAGCUAAAGGUAUCUUUGAAAAUGGGUCACCACCCGGGGGCCGAAAUAAAAGGAGUCGGAAUGAAGUAUUUGCAUAUUAUUGUAAGAGGGGGUCGUGCCAUGUAUUACGUGAUCGUGAUGAUCGAGGAACGCGCGGAGCCGGUGGUUGGAGUACCGCCACUGGCUUACCUGGCCAGGGCUGUUUAA
Long non-coding RNA from Nicrophorus vespilloides, 255 nucleotides. RefSeq lists it as uncharacterized. The record is from RefSeq and is a predicted model, not a curated record. Lineage: Eukaryota; Metazoa; Arthropoda; Insecta; Coleoptera; Silphidae. The transcript is spliced from 2 exons.